This 429-nucleotide ribosomal RNA is filed under the name uncultured bacterium. RNAcentral describes it as "bacterial SSU rRNA". It matches the Rfam family "Bacterial small subunit ribosomal RNA", at positions 355 to 796 of the family's 1533-position model. The record is from RNAcentral.
UGGGGAAUAUUGCACAAUGGGCGCAAGCCUGAUGCAGCGACGCCGCGUGAGGGAUGACGGCCUUCGGGUUGUAAACCUCUUUCAGUAUCGACGAAGCGCAAGUGACGGUAGGUACAGAAGAAGCACCGGCCAACUACGUGCCAGCAGCCGCGGUAAUACAGAGGGUGCAAGCGUUAAUCGGAAUUACUGGGCGUAAAGCGUGCGCAGACGGUUACAUAAGUCGGGUGUGAAAGCCCCGGGCUCAACCUGGGAAUUGCAUUCGAGACUGUGUAGCUAGGGUACGGAAGAGGGAAGCGGAAUUUCAGGUGUAGCGGUGAAAUGCGUAGAUAUCUGAAGGAACACCAGUGGCGAAAGCGGCUUCCUGGUCCAGUACCGACGUUCAGGCACGAAAGCGUGGGGAGCAAACAGGAUUAGAUACCCCCGUAGUCC